ACGUGAAACCGUUCAGAGGUAAACCUGAGAAACCAAAAAGUAUCGAACGGGGAGAUUCAUCGUCGACGAGGCCGGCUCCCGUUGGCGCGCGAUGCCCCCGAUCGGACCCUCGCGGUUCCGAUGCGAGAGGGCACACCGUCUUCGGCGAACGACCGGCCACAACGUCGUCGUGCAAUUCUCCCUUAUUAGAACGUUCGGCUCUCGAACUCGCGGCAGAGGCUCGGUCGCCCGGCCGGCUGCGCGACGGUACUCUUACGGUAUCGGGCCGCACACGUUUGCGUCCGACCCGCCGCAAGCUCGGUCGGUAUUCUUUUUACCCGGAGUCAGCGGACCUAGAGUGCCCUCUCCGGGCCCGGCCAGCUGUUAGCAGGCGGUGUUCUCGGACCGGUCAAGCUUCGAAUUACCGGUCGGCGACGCUACUGYUUUGGGUACUCUCGGGACCCGUCUUGAAACACGGACCAAGGAGUCUAACAUGUGCGCGAGUCAUUGGGACGCGUAAACCUAAAGGCGAAAUGAAAGUGAAGGUCUGCCUUCGGGCCGACCGAGGGAGGAUGGACCGCUUGCGUAUCGGUCUCGCACUCCCGGGGCGUCUCGUUCUCGUCUCGAGAAGAGGCGCAUCCAGAGCGUACACGUUGGGACCCGAAAGAUGGUGAACUAUGCCUGGUCAGGACGAAGUCAGGGGAAACCCUGAUGGAGGUCCGUAGCGAUUCUGACG
This 715-nucleotide ribosomal RNA is filed under the name Euhesma sp. EABA-2006. RNAcentral's name for it is "eukaryotic LSU rRNA". It matches the Rfam family "Eukaryotic large subunit ribosomal RNA", at positions 397 to 891 of the family's 3401-position model. Lineage: Eukaryota; Metazoa; Arthropoda; Insecta; Hymenoptera; Colletidae. The record is from RNAcentral.